This 451-nucleotide ribosomal RNA is filed under the name Rhampholeon gorongosae. Its description in RNAcentral is "partial 16S ribosomal RNA". It matches the Rfam family "Bacterial large subunit ribosomal RNA", at positions 1922 to 2596 of the family's 2925-position model. Lineage: Eukaryota; Metazoa; Chordata; Lepidosauria; Squamata; Chamaeleonidae. The record is from RNAcentral.
UCUAAACGGCCGCGGCAACUAAAACCGUGCAAAGGUAGCACAAUCACUUGUCCCUUAAAUAGGGACCCGUAUGAAAGGCAACACGAGAGAAAACCUGUCUCCUAAAGCUAGCCAGUGAAAUUGAACUGUCAGUACAAAAGCUGACAUACCAAAGCAAGACGAAAAGACCCUGUGGAACUUUAAAAACCUGUCUAUCAAACCUAAACAAUUUUUUUAGUUGGGACAACUAAAGAAAAAACUAACCUCUUUUAUUCACCAAGACCAACAAGUCUAAGACAUUAAAAACUUGACCCAGUCACACUGAUUAAUGAAACAAGCUACCCCAGGGAUAACAGCSCCACCUUCUCAAAAAGUCCAUAUUAACAARAAGAUCUACSACCUCSAUGUUGGAUCAGGGUACCCAGACGGUGCAACAGCUGUCAAAGGUUCGUUUGUUCAACGACUAACACCC